AACGAACGCUGGCGGCAGGCUUAACACAUGCAAGUCGAACGGUUGUAGCAAUACAGCAGUGGCGCACGGGUGAGUAACGCGUGGAUAUCUGCCUUUUGGUUCGGAAUAACUCCGGGAAACUGGAGCUAAUACCGGAUGGUUCCUGCGGGAUAAAGAUUUAUCGCCAAAAGAUGAGUCCGCGUACGAUUAGCUAGUUGGUGAGGUAAUGGCUCACCAAGGCGACGAUCGUUAGCUGGUCUGAGAGGACGAUCAGCCACACUGGGACUGAGACACGGCCCAGACUCCUACGGGAGGCAGCAGUGGGGAAUAUUGGACAAUGGGGGCGAACCCUGAUCCAGCCAUGCCGCGUGAGUGAUGAAGGCCUCGGUUGUAAAGCUCUUUGGUCGGGGACGAUGAUGACGGUACCCGCAGAAUAAGCCCGGCGUAACUUCGUGCCAGCAGCCGCGGUAA
RNAcentral lists this ribosomal RNA (450 nucleotides) under uncultured bacterium. RNAcentral describes it as "bacterial SSU rRNA". It matches the Rfam family "Bacterial small subunit ribosomal RNA", at positions 29 to 523 of the family's 1533-position model. The record is from RNAcentral.